UACGUAGGUGGCAAGCGUUGUCCGGAUUUAUUGGGUUUAAAGGGUGCGUAGGCGGCCAUUUAAGUCAGUGCUGAAAUACUCUAGCUUAACUAGAGGGGUGGCAUUGAUACUGAUUGGCUUGAGUGAAGUCGAAGUAGGCGGAAUUGACGGUGUAGCGGUGAAAUGCUUAGAUAUCGUCAAGAACACCGAUAGUGAAGACAGCUUACUAGACUUCAACUGACGCUGAGGCACGAAAGUGUGGGGAUCAAACAGG
This 253-nucleotide ribosomal RNA is filed under the name uncultured bacterium. RNAcentral's name for it is "partial 16S ribosomal RNA". It matches the Rfam family "Bacterial small subunit ribosomal RNA", at positions 524 to 776 of the family's 1533-position model. RNAcentral also lists the same sequence under 1 other name. The record is from RNAcentral.